RNAcentral lists this ribosomal RNA (633 nucleotides) under Bacillus sp. Sb3-5. RNAcentral describes it as "partial 16S ribosomal RNA". The record is from RNAcentral. Lineage: Bacteria; Bacillati; Bacillota; Bacilli; Caryophanales; Bacillaceae.
AUUACUAGCGAUUCCAGCUUCACGCAGUCGAGUUGCAGACUGCGAUCCGAACUGAGAACAGAUUUGUGGGAUUGGCUUAACCUCGCGGUUUCGCUGCCCUUUGUUCUGUCCAUUGUAGCACGUGUGUAGCCCAGGUCAUAAGGGGCAUGAUGAUUUGACGUCAUCCCCACCUUCCUCCGGUUUGUCACCGGCAGUCACCUUAGAGUGCCCAACUGAAUGCUGGCAACUAAGAUCAAGGGUUGCGCUCGUUGCGGGACUUAACCCAACAUCUCACGACACGAGCUGACGACAACCAUGCACCACCUGUCACUCUGCCCCCGAAGGGGAAGUCCUAUCUCUAGGAUUGUCAGAGGAUGUCAAGACCUGGUAAGGUUCUUCGCGUUGCUUCGAAUUAAACCACAUGCUCCACCGCUUGUGCGGGCCCCCGUCAAUUCCUUUGAGUUUCAGUCUUGCGACCGUACUCCCCAGGCGGAGUGCUUAAUGCGUUAGCUGCAGCACUAAGGGGCGGAAACCCCCUAACACUUAGCACUCAUCGUUUACGGCGUGGACUACCAGGGUAUCUAAUCCUGUUCGCUCCCCACGCUUUCGCUCCUCAGCGUCAGUUACAGACCAGAGAGUCGCCUUCGCCACUGG